CUGCUUUCUGGCUCCAGAUAAUCGUAGAGCGAGUGGUCGGAAGUUCGAGCCGAGCGUAGCGAGACAACGUUGCUUCAGCAACGGCCCGCAGGGCGAGGCAAAGCCGAGUCAUCUUCCUGGGUGCACCA
Molecule: small RNA, 128 nt
Filed under: Yersinia mollaretii
Lineage: Bacteria; Pseudomonadati; Pseudomonadota; Gammaproteobacteria; Enterobacterales; Yersiniaceae
Description: RtT sRNA
Rfam family: RtT RNA (bases 16-128)
About the family: This family represents a bacterial cis-regulatory element known as RtT RNA. The exact function of RtT is unknown although it is thought that it may be involved in changing the cellular response in relation to amino acid starvation.
Source: RNAcentral